UGCCUUAGUAACGGCGAGUGAAGCGGCAAAAGCUCAAAUUUGAAAUCUGGUACCUUCGGUGCCCGAGUUGUAAUUUGGAGAGGGCAACUUUGGGGCCGUUCCUYGUCUAUGUUCCUUGGAACAGGACGUCAUAGAGGGUGAGAAUCCCGUGUGGCGAGGAGUGCGGUUCUUUGUAAAGUGCCUUCGAAGAGUCGAGUUGUUUGGGAAUGCAGCUCUAAGUGGGUGGUAAAUUCCAUCUAAAGCUAAAUAUUGGCGAGAGACCGAUAGCGAACAAGUACAGUGAUGGAAAGAUGAAAAGAACUUUGAAAAGAGAGUGAAAAAGUACGUGAAAUUGUUGAAAGGGAAGGGCAUUUGAUCAGACAUGGUGUUUUGUGCCCUCUGCUCCUUGUGGGUAGGGGAAUCUCGCAUUUCACUGGGCCAGCAUCAGUUUUGGUGGCAGGAUAAAUCCAUAGGAAUGUAGCUUGCCUCGGUAAGUAUUAUAGCCUGUGGGAAUACUGCCAGCUGGGACUGAGGACUGCGACGUAAGUCAAGGAUGCUG
RNAcentral lists this ribosomal RNA (538 nucleotides) under Saccharomyces cerevisiae (brewer's yeast). Its description in RNAcentral is "eukaryotic LSU rRNA". It matches the Rfam family "Eukaryotic large subunit ribosomal RNA", at positions 76 to 628 of the family's 3401-position model. Lineage: Eukaryota; Fungi; Ascomycota; Saccharomycetes; Saccharomycetales; Saccharomycetaceae. The record is from RNAcentral.